RNAcentral lists this ribosomal RNA (283 nucleotides) under uncultured bacterium. RNAcentral describes it as "partial 16S ribosomal RNA". It matches the Rfam family "Bacterial small subunit ribosomal RNA", at positions 524 to 796 of the family's 1533-position model. The record is from RNAcentral.
UACGUAGGGCGCAAGCGUUGUCCGGAAUUAUUGGGCGUAAAGAGCUCGUAGGCGGUUUGUCGCGUCUGCUGUGAAAGCCCGGGGCUCAACCCCGGGUCUGCAGUGGGUACGGGCAGACUAGAGUGCAGUAGGGGAGACUGGAAUUCCUGGUGGUAGCGGUGAAAUGCGCAGAUAUCAGGAGGAACACCGAUGGCGAAGGCAGGUCUCUGGGCGUCGAUUGACCUGACGCUGAGGAGCGAAAAGCAUGGGGGAGCGAACAGGAUUGAGAUACCCAUGUACGUCC